GAUGAACGCUGGCGGCGUGCCUAAUACAUGCAAGUCGAGCGAACAGACGAGGAGCUUGCUCCUCUGACGUUAGCGGCGGACGGGUGAGUAACACGUGGAUAACCUACCUAUAAGACUGGGAUAACUUCUGGAAACCGGAGCUAAUACCGGAUAAUAUAUUGAACCGCAUGGUUCAAUAGUGAAAGACGGUUUUGCUGUCACUUAUAGAUGGAUCCGCGCCGCAUUAGCUAGUUGGUAAGGUAACGGCUUACCAAGGCAACGAUGCGUAGCCGACCUGAGAGGGUGAUCGGCCACACUGGAACUGAGACACGGUCCAGACUCCUACGGGAGGCAGCAGUAGGGAAUCUUCCGCAAUGGGCGAAAGCCUGACGGAGCAACGCCGCGUGAGUGAUGAAGGUCUUCGGAUCGUAAAACUCUGUUAUUAGGGAAGAACAAAUGUGUAAGUAACUAUGCACGUCUUGACGGUACCUAAUCAGAAAGCCACGGCCAACUACGUG
This 497-nucleotide ribosomal RNA is filed under the name uncultured bacterium. Its description in RNAcentral is "partial 16S ribosomal RNA". It matches the Rfam family "Bacterial small subunit ribosomal RNA", at positions 28 to 507 of the family's 1533-position model. The record is from RNAcentral.